This 280-nucleotide ribosomal RNA is filed under the name Candidatus Caldarchaeales archaeon. RNAcentral describes it as "partial 23S ribosomal RNA". It matches the Rfam family "Archaeal large subunit ribosomal RNA", at positions 2751 to 2987 of the family's 2987-position model. Lineage: Archaea; Thermoproteati; Nitrososphaerota; Candidatus Caldarchaeales. The record is from RNAcentral.
GUACGAGAGGAACGGAGGGCCGGGGCCAACGGUGUACCGGUCGUCCUACAGGGCGGCGCCGGGUAGCCGCGCCCUUGAGGAUAAGGGCUGAAAGCAUCUAAGCCCGAAGCCUCUCCCAAAAAUAGGCGGCCGAUCGGGGCCUAUAGGGCUCGGCAACGGGCCUUGGGCUCCGACGAGGGCUCCCCUAGAAGAGGGGGUUGAUGGGGUGGGCGUGUAAGGGUGGAGGCUUAGGCCGGACACCCUCAGCGCACCACUCCCAAUCGCCCGAGCCGCUUAGGAA